This 267-nucleotide ribosomal RNA is filed under the name uncultured bacterium. Its description in RNAcentral is "partial 16S ribosomal RNA". It matches the Rfam family "Bacterial small subunit ribosomal RNA", at positions 96 to 354 of the family's 1533-position model. The record is from RNAcentral.
UGGCGAACGGGUGAGUAACACGUGGGCAACCUAGCCCAAAAGACGGGGGAGUAACACUUGGAACAGGUGCUAAUACCGCAUAACCAUAGUUACCGCAUGGUAACUAUGUAAAAGGUGGCUAUUGCUACCGCUUUUGGAUGGGCCCGCGGCGCAUUAGCUAGUUGGUGGGGUAAAGGCUUACCAAGGCAAUGAUGCGUAGCCGAACUGAGAGGUUGAUCGGCCACAUUGGGACUGAGACACGGCCCAAACUCCUACGGAAGGCAGCAG